UACGUAGGGGGCAAGCGUUGUCCGGAUUUAUUGGGCGUAAAGAGCGUGUAGGCGGCCACACAGGUCUGCUGUGAAAACUCGAGGCUCAACCUCGAGCUGUCGGUGGAAACCGUGUGGCUAGAGUCCGGAAGAGGAGAGUGGAAUUCCCGGUGUAGCGGUGAAAUGCGCAGAUAUCGGGAAGAACACCCGUGGCUAAGGCGGCUCUCUAGUACGGUACUGACGCUGAGACGCGAAAGCGUGGGGAGCGAACAGG
Molecule: ribosomal RNA, 253 nt
Filed under: uncultured bacterium
Lineage: Bacteria
Description: partial 16S ribosomal RNA
Rfam family: Bacterial small subunit ribosomal RNA
Source: RNAcentral